This 552-nucleotide ribosomal RNA is filed under the name uncultured Arthrobacter sp. Its description in RNAcentral is "bacterial SSU rRNA". It matches the Rfam family "Bacterial small subunit ribosomal RNA", at positions 374 to 936 of the family's 1533-position model. The record is from RNAcentral. Lineage: Bacteria; Bacillati; Actinomycetota; Actinomycetes; Micrococcales; Micrococcaceae.
UUCGAUUGCCUGAUGCAGCGACGCCGCGUGAGGGAUGACGGCCUUCGGGUUGUAAACCUCUUGGUGUAGGGAAGAAGCGAAAUUUCGGUACCUGUUAGAAGAAUAAGCCGGCUAGGGACGUGCCAUUAGCCGCGGUAAUACGUAGGAUCGCAAGCGUAAUCCGGAAUUAUUGGGCGUAAAGAGCUCGUGGGGCGGUUUGUCGCGUCUGUAGUGAAAGCCGGGGCUCAACUCCGGAUCUGCGGUGGAAUACGGGCAGACUAGAGUGAUGGGAGGGGAGACAAGGAAUUCCUUAGUAGCAAUUGAAAUGCGCUUAUAUCAGGUUGAACACCGUGUGGCGAAGCAGGUCUCUGUGGUUAACAAUACGCUGAGGGCGAAAGGAUGGGGAGCGAACAGGAUUAGUACCCUGGUUGUUCCAUGUUGUAAACGUUGUUCACUAGGUAUGGGGGACAUUCCACGUUCCGCGCCGUGCUAACGCAGGAAGUGCCCUACUGGGGAUAACGGCCGCAAGGCUAAAUCAAAGGAAGGAAGACGGGUACCGCACAAUUCGGCGUA